GCGAAUAGAGUCUUCUACUAAGCCUGAUGAUGUUAUUAAAGUUUGAAUUUUGAAGGCACUGUAUUUUCUAUUUGUUCAAAGCAUUCCAAGUCAGCUAAAUAGCAUAAACACUCUGUGGCUACAGGAAAGGGAGCUGGAACUCGAGGAUAGAUAUGACUCAGAGUGAUGGUCUGCUUCCUGAAGAAUGACCUUUGCUGCCUGGUUGUCCUGACUGUCGGAGAGAGAGGCCAGGAAAUGUAUUCAAAGCAUGGACGCAUCAGUAACCGGGACACACACGUAUAUACGCUCAGUGGCUGUUCCUCCUCCACCAACUGAAAUGAUACGCAGUUUUAUUUCUGCAGUUUUUACAAAAUAAUUGAACUUAGUCCCUCACUUUCUAUAGGGAAGUAGAUGAGACAUAAUUUUAAAUAUUAAUGCAACAGAAGUCUUAAACAUAUACACGAUGUUUGAACUUUUACAAAAUAUUUUUCCUUAGAGAAACCUUUGGAGGCUGAAUGAUGUGGAUAGAGUUCAAGUUUUGAAGUUAGAUCUGGUUUAAAUCUGUUUCCCCAUAUGAGCAGCUGUGUUGCUUAUUCUUUUUGAUCUCAUUUCCUUAUCUAUAAAUGUAAUGAUAACUUUUAAAUCUUUCCGGGAUAUUAUGAGGAUCAAAUGAGAAAAUUUAUGUGAGGUGUCUGGCAGGGAGUUGAUGCUCAAUAAAAUUUAGUUCCCUGCUAUGGCCACAGACUGCUGGUUGCCUAACCGAUUUCCAUGUCUCCUGUUUAUUUAGUACCAGUACGCUGAUUUCAUUCAGAUGGUACUGUGCUCAGGAAUGAGGCCAUAUACCCAGCUUCCUUUGCUGCUAGAUACUAUCAUGUGACUUAAUUCUAACCAAUGAAAUGUAUGAAGUUUUUGGAUGGCAA
Non-coding RNA from Microcebus murinus (gray mouse lemur), 899 nucleotides. The record is from RefSeq and is a predicted model, not a curated record. NCBI's taxonomy places the organism in Eukaryota, Metazoa, Chordata, Mammalia, Primates, Cheirogaleidae.